UGCAAUUAUCUGUAUUUUUACUAAUAAAUAAAUUAUGAAAUAAGUUAUGAAAUGACAAUGGUGGGUGCCCCGGUCGAGCAGUACUCUUUUUUUUUUCUUUUUUGAUUCUGUGCAGGUCAGAGAAAAUAUUGGAGACUGCCGGUUGUUCCACAAGUUGUACAGCAGGUCCGUGGAUGCUGUUUGCACGCAAGGCCUCCGCCGCUUCGGGGAGUUCUGGUUCUGCGUCUGGUGGUGGUGCCUGAUCGCCGUGCCUUCUGCCGUCGCUGCCCUGGCUCUCUCCACGUACUACGGCAGAACGUCGCCGCACGUGACCAGCAGAGAUGCCGCCGACGACGGUGAUGCGUGAAGACCGUGUCGACUCCGACUUCGCCGUCCAAGGACGUCGCUCGUAGUCCUCAUAUUUAGCGACGUCGGGAGUCCAGCCGAGACCUACUCUGGCAGAUCCUUGACGCUGCAAGAAUGCGACGGUGUGGGGAGACCGAUGACGCGUUCUGUCAUGUUAAUAGUUAUUCUGUUGUGCGGUUAUUAGUUAAAGACGACACACACGUAUCUGUUUCUAUAUAGUUAAGUGCCCUCCGAACUGCCAGUGAUCUUUCAACAUCCGUUUCCGGCGAGGACAGUGCGAAACGCGCCGUAUAGUAUAUAUUACUCGUGUUUUAUCCAAUGUCGUAGCUGCGAUGCGUCCCGUCUUUUUUUUAGUUAGCUCAUAUAUAGCGAGUUCCCCCUGGGGAUAGAGCUUGUAUUUAUCGCGUUCGAGCUAUGACGAGAAGGUACGUCAGGGCGCUACGGUGUUGCGGAGACUGUGCGGGCACUUCCGUGCUUACACGCUGUAAUUAUCAAGCGAUAUGCGUGUACAUUGGACCGUUCACAAUACAUGACGAUCGCUUUGAAACCACGCUUUCUUUUUCUUUUCCUCCGCGUAGCAAUGUGCGAACGAGUGGACUUUAUCAAAUAUCUGGGCCAAGUAUGCGGCGAGUCAACUGUUCUUUUAGUAUACAGCUGCGUUUGAGAAUAGGAAAUAUUGUGUGUGUUUUUUUCUUGCCCGCACCGGUGCUUAAUGGUUGCUCAGUGAGGAUAAAUAAAUAAAUAUAUGAACGAGA
Long non-coding RNA from Dermacentor andersoni, 1100 nucleotides. RefSeq lists it as uncharacterized. The record is from RefSeq and is a predicted model, not a curated record. Lineage: Eukaryota; Metazoa; Arthropoda; Arachnida; Ixodida; Ixodidae.